RNAcentral lists this ribosomal RNA (434 nucleotides) under uncultured Lachnospiraceae bacterium. Its description in RNAcentral is "bacterial SSU rRNA". It matches the Rfam family "Bacterial small subunit ribosomal RNA", at positions 341 to 792 of the family's 1533-position model. Lineage: Bacteria; Bacillati; Bacillota; Clostridia; Lachnospirales; Lachnospiraceae. The record is from RNAcentral.
ACGGAAGGCAGCAGUGGGGAAUAUUGCACAAUGGGGGAAACCCUGAUGCAGCGACGCCGCGUGAGUGAAGAAGUAUUUCGGUAUGUAAAGCUCUAUCAGCAGGAAAGAAAAUGACGGUACCUGACUAAGAAGCACCGGCUAAAUACGUGCCAGCAGCCGCGGUAAUACGUAUGGUGCAAGCGUUAUCCGGAUUUACUGGGUGUAAAGGGAGCGUAGACGGCAUAGCAAGCCAGAUGUGAAAGGUGGGGGCUCAACCCCCAAGCUGCAUUUGGAACUGUUAAGCUAGAGUAUCGGAGAGGUAAGUGGAAUUCCUAGUGUAGCGGUGAAAUGCGUAGAUAUUAGGAGGAACACCAGUGGCGAAGGCGGCUUACUGGACGAUAACUGACGUUGAGGCUCGAAAGCGUGGGGAGCAAACAGGAUAAGAUACCCUGGUA